AUACGUAGGGGGCGAGCGUUGUCCGGAAUGAUCGGGCGUAAAGGGCGCGUAGGCGGCCCGGUAAGUCUGGAGUGAAAGUCCUGUUUUUAAGAUGGGAAUUGCUUUGGAUACUGUCGGGCUUGAGUGCAGGAGAGGUAAGUGGAAUUCCCAGUGUAGCGGUGAAAUGCGUAGAGAUUGGGAGGAACACCAGUGGCGAAGGCGACUUACUGGACUGUAACUGACGCUGAGGCGCGAAAGUGUGGGGAGCAAACAGGAUUAGAUACCCUGGUAGUCCACACUGUAAACGAUGAAUGCUAGGUGUAGGGGGUAUCGACCCCUUCUGUGCCGCAGUCAACACAAUAAGCAUUCCGCCUGGGGAGUACGGCCGCAAGGUUGAAACUUAAAGGAAUUGACGGGG
This 397-nucleotide ribosomal RNA is filed under the name uncultured bacterium. Its description in RNAcentral is "partial 16S ribosomal RNA". It matches the Rfam family "Bacterial small subunit ribosomal RNA", at positions 523 to 918 of the family's 1533-position model. The record is from RNAcentral.